Non-coding RNA from Schizosaccharomyces pombe (fission yeast), 1194 nucleotides. The record is from the annotation of a GenBank genome assembly. NCBI's taxonomy places the organism in Eukaryota, Fungi, Ascomycota, Schizosaccharomycetes, Schizosaccharomycetales, Schizosaccharomycetaceae.
AAAUACGUAGAUAUACUGACGCAGUAAGGAGAUACACAUAGCUAGCAAGUAUUGUAGAUUUCCAGUGAAAAAGUUAAAUUUAAGCGUUGAAACAAAAGGAAUGUCCUGAAAAUAUUUAUUUAAUCGUAUUGGUUGAAAACCUGAUAAACUUCAGCUUGUUAUCAUCAAUUAUAUUAUACAAAUUGCCAAACUACCGAAUAUAUAUGCGUAAGAAAUACGCUUUUUAGCGUUUUAAUUUGGCCUGUAUAUAUGAAAACAGUAAAAAAAGUUGUGUAAAAGCUAAGUUCGACCAUUUCAUUACAAUCUAAUUCCUAUGUACAUUAAGUUAUACAUUUUGAUCUCUAGCUGUAUAACGCACGUGUAAUAACUGAGAAUUUGGAAAUGCAUUGUUCAAUACGAUAGCAUAUGCGGAAGGAUGUUCAUGAUGAAUAAAGGAGGACUCCAUUCGUAAACCAUUUUGGUUCAAUAAGGCGACAUCCCAUGCUGUAUCAGAACCAAAAAGCGUUUGAUUUGUAACGAGUGAACUUAGAAGUGGAACAUCACAAGAGCUAUCAUUGUAAAGCAAUUGCCAUUCUACUGAGGCAUUCCUUGGUAAGGCAUCAACCAACGCAACCAAAACAGGACUUGACUCCCCAGUAUUUUUUGUAUAUUCUGACCAAAUUUUAACAACACAAUCCGCAUCACGAGAAUCACAAACAUAUGCCAAGCAUGCUAUGAGUGAACCUACUCGCAUUGCUUUUGCAACACGAUUUGCGUGUUGAAGAGCCAGUACCAUCUCAAAUAUUUUGUCAUGAAGUUUUAACUCCAUAACUGAUGGUAUUAAACCAAUUUGUCCAGAAAUGAAAACAACACCAUUUGCACAGAUCGACUGCGAAUAUGGACCAAUGUUGGCUGGCGCCCAAUAACUUUGCCCUUGAACAUGAAGCGCUCUUUUCUCGGUUACAUCUCCAACAAUACAGGACAUGACUAUCCUAUACUCACUAGCUAGAGGAGCUGCGACGCAAGACCGGGAAGGUGGGUUCGUGAAAUCAAAAUAUUUAUUGUAAACAGAGUUAAAUUCUGCAAACUUAGACAUGGAAGAUAAAAUGACGGUUACAAAGUAAACAUUUUUGUUAGAAUAUCCAUAUGUACCAAGCAGUUCUAGGAAGUUAGUAUUCUAGCGGUUUAAAGGAAAUGUUCGGUGGCAUAGCCGAA